Non-coding RNA from Odocoileus virginianus texanus, 186 nucleotides. The record is from RefSeq and is a predicted model, not a curated record. Lineage: Eukaryota; Metazoa; Chordata; Mammalia; Artiodactyla; Cervidae.
CGAGUGGUUUAUUGUGGCGCUUGAGGCUACAAGCCCAAGUAUCUUCAGCUCAAGAAGAAGUUAGAAGAUGAGUUCCCUAGCCGUCUGGACAUCCAUCUCUUCCUUCUCCCCAGUGCGGUGAGGGGACUCCCCAGGUCACCGGCUUCUUUGAAGUGUUCGUAGCAGGAAAGCUGGUUCACUCCAAGA